CGCUGCCGUUGUCACAUCCUUGCGCGGACUCGCGCACGCCGUGGCUACAAAUGUGGUUGCCCCUGUUUUCAUUGUGGGCCACUUAAGCACUUAGAUAGGGAACCCUCGCCAGCAACUGCAGAGACCGUGUCAUACUCCGCCAUUGAGAGACGACGCAGCCGCCUCGUAGCUACUCGCCCCCACCGUCGUCGAGUGCCUGAUUGGAGCCACAGAAUCUCGCCUGAACGCAGGGGGAAGUCACUCAGACCCGUUUCUCGGACAAUCGUGCCCUUGGGCGUGUGGAAUUCCUCGCCGUAGUUGAAGCUUGCCGCAGAGCCGCGCCGUUGCGCGGAUAGUGUCACUCGUGCUCCAUACCAAGUGUUGGGGGCCUUCUUCUUCGUCGAAGGUCCUCCAAGCAAAAACACCUUCGACAAGACGAUACACAAGCAGAUACGACAUGAAGAUAUAUGCCGAAGCUACAAUUGAAAGAGCUUCUGCAUGAUGACAUGCUUAAGACGAAGGAUGGCACCGACUUAAAGAGGAAAAGACCACAUAGUCCCUGAUAAUUUGUAUUAUGGUUAUGAUUAGUUAUCAAGGACACGAAUGUAAUUUUUUUCGGGCUGUGUCUGGUGCCUAUAAAUAGAUGAACAGUAACCCCGUACUGUUCACGCUGACUUGUAAUCACUCACGCGUCACUCCUGGAUCUUUACCUUCUAUCAAGCGAAGGUACAAAUGUAAUUUAAAUAUCAUUGAUGUUUGUUCACGAUUAUAUAAUGAUAAUGUGAAUAGUCUAAUGAUUUAAAAUGAUUAUUCA
Molecule: long non-coding RNA, 793 nt
Organism: Zea mays
Lineage: Eukaryota; Viridiplantae; Streptophyta; Magnoliopsida; Poales; Poaceae
Exons: 2
Source: RefSeq, a predicted model, not a curated record